This 494-nucleotide ribosomal RNA is filed under the name uncultured bacterium. Its description in RNAcentral is "partial 16S ribosomal RNA". It matches the Rfam family "Bacterial small subunit ribosomal RNA", at positions 28 to 507 of the family's 1533-position model. The record is from RNAcentral.
GACGAACGCUGGCGGCGUGCUUAACACAUGCAAGUCGGACGGUGAAGCGCCUUCCUUUUUGGUGGGUGUGGAUGAGUGGCGAACGGGUGAGUAACACGUGAGUAACCUGCCCCCUUCUUCUGGAUAACCGCAUGAAAGUGUGGCUAAUACGGGAUAUUCUGGGUCUGUCGCAUGAUGGGUCUGGGAAAGAUAUUGUUUCGGUGGGGGAUGGGCUCGCGGCCUAUCAGCUUGUUGGUGGGGUGAUGGCCUACCAAGGCGGUGACGGGUAGCCGGCCUGAGAGGGUGGACGGUCACACUGGGACUGAGACACGGCCCAGACUCCUACGGGAGGCAGCAGUGGGGAAUAUUGCACAAUGGGCGCAAGCCUGAUGCAGCGACGCCGCGUGAGGGAUGGAGGCCUUCGGGUUGUGAACCUCUUUCGCCAGUGAAGCAGGCCUGCCUCGUUUGUGGGUGGGUUGACGGUAGCUGGAUAAGAAGCGCCGGCUAACUACGUG